RNAcentral lists this long non-coding RNA (1835 nucleotides) under Gallus gallus (chicken). Its description in RNAcentral is "lncRNA (ENSGALG00010007109.1)". The record is from RNAcentral. Lineage: Eukaryota; Metazoa; Chordata; Aves; Galliformes; Phasianidae.
AAAGAAAGCUGAUCAGUAGUGUGUUUCAGUGGCUGUAAACUAGCUUGAAGUAUUUGGAUGUUCAGUUUCCUGAGAAAAGUAACAAAAAUGUUAGAGCUAAUCUUAAUCCUUUAAUUAUGGUGCUGACUAAUGACUUAAGCAGAUGGUAGGCUUUCCCUCUCUCAUUGUGGGGGAAGGUUAAUACAUACAAUUAAAAUUAAUAUAUUACCCAGCCUUCUUUCCAUUCUGAGUACAUCACCAGUUUCUGUUCCCUUUCUCUCUUCCCUCUCCUACUUUUAUUUAUUUAUUUAUUUAUUUAUUCAUUUAAAGUUAAAAAGCUUGGAGGUUUUUGAGGAUUAGGAAGGAGAAGGGAAAAAAAAAAAGAAGAAAAUUUAGGAGCUGUAUACUUUAAUAUUAAGUUGCAUUAUUUACCUGCUAUCUUGGGGGCAGCUGGCUUGAUUUCUGAAUCAUUAUUUUUUAGAAUCCUCAGUGUGGCAAUUGAGAGAAGAGCAUUGAUAUCUUACCCACAUUUACAGGGCAUUUUGAAUUCUGAUAGCUUGUCUCCACUGAAACAUUCACCUCAAUUGGAGGCAGUCAGCAACAACCCCUCCUAAAGACAGAAUCGCCAACUUGGAGAAGCUGCAAAAUUUCUGCUGCUCAGCUGUGGGAGAACACCAGAAAAUCUCCGAAACUUUGUGGAAAAUGAUCAUCUACUGAAGGAGAAACGUACUAGAGCACAGGAAAAAAUUGAUACAUGAGAAAGAGCAAAAUUAAUCAUGCAGCUGUGGAACAGAUUGGGACCUAGUAUUGUCACAAUGUUGAGUUCUCCAGAACUUUGUAUUAGGGGGCUGUAGCCCAGCUGGCAGGAAUAGAAAUGUUCUCUACGAGCAGAAGGAGAUUAUGUAAAUAUCUAAAAAACAGCGUAGCUACUGAGCAUUGGCUUCUCAUUAUUUAAUCUAAACCCACAUGUAGUUUAGCUCCUCUGACUUAGAUAUUUGAUUACUUCCCAGAAAAUUAGCAGGAGUAUGCAUUGGAUGCACAUAAAUUGUUUUAAUCUGGUUCUGUGUGUAGCACCAAUCACUGGUGAAGAGUCAAGUUGGCACCUAUGUCUUGUUCUAAUAUUUGGUUCUCAAAGCAGGUAAGGAGUAAAAUUCCAUUUAAUGCCACCAGGGAUUUUGUUCAAAGGAGAACACACUGCUUCACUUUUAUAGCUAGGAGCUACGGAUUUAUUGAAGACCAUAUUUUAAUAGGCAGCUCUGAUCAUCUCGUUUACAAAUUCACCCAUUAUAAAGGGACAUUGAUAUUUACAUCACCCAUACUUACAAAAUACUGCUGCUGUGUAUAGCAAAUGGAUGCAUCUGGUACAAAGAAUGGUGAAACUGGGCGGAGUAGCGAUGAAGGGCUACUUCAGGAAACAACAAGUAAGCUUUGGAAUACUGAAACAGGAACAUUUUUCUCAUACCCAGUGCUCUCCAGAACUUCACAGCCAACUCAAGAAGUCAGUCCUGUGUCAGCAGGGAAGACCAAUGACCUCCAUCUGAAGAAAAAGUAUUAUCUUCUGAUUUGUAUUACUACUGCUGGGUUGCCUUGGACGUUUUUUCUCCAAAGAAAGCAGCACAGGUGUGCAGCUUUAACUAGAGGAAAAAGGAAUUACGCUCUUCUUGGCACCAGAUGUUUCCCUAUGAAAGGCAAGAUCUGGGUGCAUAUGAAAUGACUUUCUGGUGAGAAGAGCUCGUUCUUGCACUGGUUAACAUGUUGUUUAUGCUCAGACACCUGAGGGUUUAUAUCCUAUCCAGACUUCUGCAUUUUCUGAAGUUGUUUGUAUGUGAUGUUUAUCCAAUAAAGAAAGAAUGGAC